GAAUAGCUAGUGCAGAGGUCUUAAAAAUGAACUAGAUUCGUGUCUUGAAGCAGGAUCAAGAGAACUAGGGCGCCUAUAGGAUUGUUAGGGAGAGAUGGUGAGUUACACAUUCCCCUUGUUUUUGAAGCACAUCAUCUCAUGCCUCAAUUGACUUUAGUCUUAGCCUGUCUCCUGGGUGCAGUGUUUGAGGUAAAUGUCUUAAUUAACAUGAGACUCUCUAUAGCAAUGUCCAAGUAUCACAAGUAUUUGUGUAUAGGAGACAUUUGUUCCCAUCAUAUACACUAUCCAUUGAAAGCACAGGAUGGGAAUCAAAAAAUUAAUUUCACUCAUAAAAGGUAAGGGCUGUGCAGGUGCUCAGAGCAACUUCAAAUUCAAAAGCACCUGAGAGUAACCUUUAAGGGAGAUUUAAAGUCUAGAAAAUUGCCUAGGAUCCAUGAAGAUUUGUUUGAGGUGAUAGGUUUAAACAUAUAUCUUCAUGAUGUGUAUGAGUUUAAGUUUAUAUUGACCAAUUUUAUUUGCUUGUUUAUUUGUUUCCAACAUAUCUUGUGUUAGGGCCAAAUGUUUCCUUAGAGAAUAACCACUAACCAUGCCAGUUGCUGUAUUUUUUGCAACCUUCAACUAAAGUACCUCCAGAAUAGAAAAUAAAUCUUUUCAAAGUUUCUAAAGAGGCUCUCCAUAUAUUCCCCUUAAAAGUACCAAGCAGACAUAUUUCUAGGUUCCUAACAUAUUGCAUGUUGCCAGGAAGUAUAUUCAAACCUUCACAAGUUAUUCAUGUAACCAUGCGCACUCACAGGUGGACUUUCGCUUUGGUUGCUCUUUGAAAUUAAAAGCUAAGUUCUUUUUAGGGGGAGGGGAAUAUAUAGAAGAGGAAAAAUAAUUUUACUUUUAAAAUAAGAUAUAUGGUAGUUCCCACUGUGGGUUAAGAAUCCGAGUGCAGCAGCUGAGGUGGCUGCAGCUGCAGUGUAAGUCUCAACUGCGUGGCUCUGAUUCAGCCAUGGGUGAGGCUACUAAAAAAAAAAAAAAAAAAAAAAAAAGGUAGUUCCAGUUGUGGCGCAGCAGAAACGAAUCCAAGUCAGAGUCACGAGAUUGUGGAUUAGAUCCCUGGCCUCACUCAGGGGAUUAAGGAUCCUGCCUUGCCAUGAGCAGUGGUGCAGGUCACAGACGCAGCUUGGAUCUGGCAUUGCUGUGGCUCUGGUGUAGGCAGCAACAGCUCUGAUUAGACCCCAAGCAUGGGAACCUCCAUAUGCCCCGGGUGUGGCCCUGAAAAAGACAAAAAAAAAAAAAGAUAUGUGAGAGCCAUAGUUCUGUUUUGUUUUUAAUUCACCAUAGCUCCAAAAUGGCAGUGUUGCUUUAGAGCAGGGAUCAGCAAACUUUUUCUGUGAAGGGUCAGAUAGUAAAUAUUUUAGGUUUUGUGGGCUAUAAGAUUUCUGUUGCAACUACUCCAUUCUGCCAUUAUAAUGUAGAAACAGUCAUAAACAAUAUGUAAAUGAAAGUGCGUGGUGGCAUUCUAAUAAAACUGUAUUUACAGAAAGAGACAAGGGCCACAUUUAGCUUGAGGGCUGUGGUUUGCAGACUCCUGCUAUAGACCUAAGAAUUUGUCAACAGGUGUCAACUGUUUUGGGAAGCCUUGUAAUUAGGGACUCUGACAUCUAAAAGAUUUAUCUCUUCCUUUUUCUCUUUCCUUUUCUGGUUAUGAAAGGUAAGGGCUAGAAAUGUAGUUGAUAGUAAGGUCCAAUUAGUGCAAUUACACUGGUUAGAAACACAGUUGGCAGCCUGUUGGCCACUCAUAUUUAGUUUCUGGCCACUUCAUUUUCGCAGAGUAAAUUCACAUGUCUUUAAUGUUUUUUUCCGGACAAGGGUACUGUAAAUUAAAAUGAUGGAGGGUCACAUUUUGUUUAUGACCUUGAUGGUGCUUAAUCAAUUUACUCACCAAAUUUCUCAUUUGUAUAAAGAUCUUUUCUCUGAAUGUAGACUUUUGCAGCCUUUUCUCUUGUCCACUUUUUCUAUAAGUUAACAGUGAAUUUAUUUAGCUUUGUACCAUUUGUUUUUAUUUCUAUUCACCUUGAAAAUGUGAAUACAAAGCAGUGCUGUAACUUGUAUUUUGCCUCAUUUACACGUGAUGUCUUAUCAUACUAUGUAAAAAAUGGAACAAAAUAGUCUGGCAACAGGUUGAAUGCAUAUUAAUCAAAUAAGGGAAGAAAAGUCUUCAAUCUUUCUUUUAAAAACUCAGUUUUCUAAAGCAUGCAUAUAAACGUUCAGAAUUGCAGUGAGAAGGAAAAAUGUCCUUAGAAUGAAAAUAUUUUAAGUGAUUAGUGUAUAAAAUGAUUUUGUAGGAAAUAGAAAUAUAAGGGUAGAAGAUUAUUUGCUUAGUAACACUUGCUUUACUAAAAAUACCUCUAUGAAUUUUCAUGAAUACUUAAUUAUUAUUUAAUGUGUGAAUGUGACCUGCCUCUUCUGGGAUACAACUAUGCUUAUGAGGAGUAUCUUUUCUCCAGUGAUGAUCCUCUUUUCAAUUGUCAGUAAGUCAUAAGAAUAGUGUACUCAAAAAUACACAUGUUGCUGAAAAUGUGAAAGUAUCUCAUAUAAGUUUGUGUGUGUGUCCAACUAUCAGGUUUCUCAUCUUUCAAAAUAAAUUGGAUCAUAAUUCAGAAAAACAGAUAUUAGACAUUUAAUGUCCUUGAAACAAAAUCUCAUACACUAAUAAAUGCUUAUCCAGAUCAUUCUAUCGCCCCCAAACGAUAGCAUAUUCAAGAUAUGAUUUUGAUUCACAGCUUUGCAAUUAUUAUGCAGAACUUUCAGGUUUUACCUAAUUUCUCAAUUUAAGUUAAUUAAAAUAUUUAAUUCAAUUCAGUUUCAUAAACACAUUUUGAAUAGCCUCCAUAUGCAAGCAAGGUUGUAAGGAAUUGGCCCCAUGAAUAGAAAAUUACAUAACUGUGGUCUCUGACUUCAGUGAACUCACAAGUGACUGAAGCAUACAGGCAAAAUUAAAAUUUUCUACAGAUUAUAAAUCCAAAAUGAAAAUACAAUGUAAUAGAGGAUAAAGAGGGGGUGCACAGACAACAGAAGUAAUUCUGGCUGUGGAACUUGAAAAAAAUUUUCACAGUGCCAGUAAUAUUCAGUUAGUCGUGAAAAAGAAAUAGAGUUCACUAGCUAAAGAAGGGAGAGAGAGGACAUUCUAGCUAAAUUUAGAUUCUGUGGCAUUCUCAGAAUUGAUAUAUUCAAAAGAAGUGUAAUGUUUAUUAUAUUCCACUGCUUGAUUAUAUUUGUAUACAAUAUGAAUGAUAUAAAUAUUAAAACUAAUUGCCUCAUAAAAUUUCAAUGGUUUCCAUCAUGUGGCCUGUGAUAUAUUUUCACUUCCUUUUUCCCCAUAUCAUUAUGAACAACGACCUGAUUUUUUUAAAAAGUUUCUCCAGAUUAGUAGAGGAUUAUUGAGUUUAGAAUGAAUAAAGUCUACAAAUCAUUCAGGGAAAUUCAGUCCUUUUGUUCUAUCUUGUUUCUGAAACCACACAACUCCCUGAGAUGAAUAAUCAAUUGUGUAUUUGAUAACCUCCUAAUUAAGGCUCAACAAACAGUAAGCUAUUGGGCUUUCUUUUUUUUUUUCUCCUAUUUUACUAAUCCUGUGUAUGCUUCUUUAUAUGAGUUACAGAUAUUUUGGAUUGGUACAUUGUCCUCUAUUUUAAGAGAGAAGAAUGCUUUUUGUGAUGCUGAGAACAAGUUUAUUUUCUUUUUUAAUUAGCCACUUUUAAUUUCAGUGGAGUAUUAUUGAUAAGAUAAAUAUUACACUUUGAUAAGUGAACAUUAGACAUUGAUAACAUGAAUAUUACAUGUAAAAUAUAGCAUCUGGUCAUAUUAUUACUACAUGAUUAUUAAAUGCAUACAUUAUAAAAAUAAAUUUUAAAGUAAAAGAUGAACAUCUUUCAUAUAGGUCUAUAUCUUUGUAUUUCAAGUGAAACUCUACACACUUAUUUGUUAAUUUAUGCAAAUUAUCUCAUAUAGUAACUAUUGAAUAUGAGUAUGUCCAUAUUUCUAUUUUGUUUAUUUGAUGAGAUUAGAUAAUGCUUUUCUACAACUGCAGUAAAGCUCCCAAAGAGAAUUUUUAGUGCUGAUUUUCUGAAACGCACUACUAUGGUAGUUCAACAAAGUGUGAAUAGGUGUGUGAGUUAAUGAUCCUUUUAAAUCCUGUCACUAGCAUUAGGCAAGAACAAAGGCAUUAGGCAAGAACAAAGGCAAUAAAAAUAAAAUUAAGAACAGAAGUGUUUAAAGGGGAAGGAUUAAUAAGUGCAAAAUAAGAAUGUGAUGUCUUUACCCAUUGUAAGAUCCAUCAUAAGUGCUCAGGAGAAAACUGCCUGAUCACAAUUUUUGGUGGGAAUAAAGAACUAUUAUUGUGUGUUUCUUCCCCUAAAACAUUGCUUCUCUGAUUAUGUUUUUCUGUACCAGUUAAAUUAGGAGAUAUUUAAUUUUACUUACCUAAAUAUACAAAGCAUCACAAUAUAUGAAGUUUUUCAAAGGUCCCAUGAUGGUUAAUAACAAGAAAAUAUAAUAUAGAUUAGCUCCUCAAUUUAAAAUUUUAAUUUUUGGAAAAGUAGAUCAAGAUUUAAAAGUUUUUUCACGUUAAUGUAUUUAUUCAUUCGUCAAAGAUUUGACUUUUUACUGAUAUGACUAGUUAUGUAUAUAGAUGGACAUAGAUAUUUAUCUCCAUUUGAUCUUAUUCUAUUUUCAUUUUAAAGGAUAACAGGUAUAAAUACAGUUGGAGAGAACUGUUAAAAAGCCCAACAAGGGAUAUUGAGGCAGCCCAUAAAUUAGCAUUUGUAGGAAAAAUUUAUCUUCUCUCGGAUUUUAGGAAUAAAGAAAUAGGAGGUAUUACCAGGGUUUAAGAACCAUACUAGCUGGGCUAUAGCUGGAUUCAGGAUGGAUGCUGUUUACUGAGGGUGGGACCAAGUAGAGACUUUCCAGUGCACACCAGAACCAUAGUGGAUAUGUACCCCCUACUGGAGUCAGUACCAGAAGCAGAGAGAAGUGGAAAGAAUUUAUAUCCGCUCUUCCUCCCACCCACUAGUCUCUUAUCAGUGUUUUCCAUUGACCAAACGCAGUGGGAAGCCAAUUGGCAAGGGUUUAGGGGAAAUGUAGGUUGCAAGGAACAUGAGAGGAAUAGAUCUGAGAGCAAAUAGGAAAAUUACCAGUACAAAAAAUAGAAGACAUAAAAUUUUCUUAUUGUAUUAUUCUAGCAACCAUAGUAGUCUUAAAACAUUUUUUAGUCUUUGAGAAAUAUGAACAUAUAUCAAAAGUAACAGGUGUAGUAGAGUUGUAGCAUACAUAACAGUGGUUUUAGCCCACUAUCAAUUAUCUGAAUUAGGAAAAGGGAAGGUAUUUGCUAAAUCAGAGAUUUUGGGGGAAACCAUUAAGGAAAAAAAUAGUCUUAUCAUAUUAAACUAAAUUGGCUAUAAUUAAAUCCUUUGGUUGAUGAUUAUUCAUUCCUUUCAAAAUUGAGAAGAUAAUAUGUGCUAUUUUUCUUUUUCUGCCAUUAUACUGAUGUCAAAAAUUAAGAAUGUACACAUUCUAAGGAAAAAAAAGAUGAGUGGAAACAAAAAAGAAACGUGAUGGAGAAAACAAAUAUUACAACACUCUUAUGUCAGUUAAAACUGAAAAUGACACCCAUCUUUUCUCUAAAUAGAAAUUAGGUAGCUGAAGUAAUAGAACUUUCUCUUCCAUGGCAACUCUAGAGAAGGACAGAUGGCAUGAGAUUAUGGACAGAUGGACCCAUAGUGAGGCCACAUUUAUAGUUAUUGUUAAAAUUUUAUUUCUACUUUCACCCAAACCUUCUAUAACAUUUCGUUUUCAAAUUGUCAAUAUGUUCUUGCUUUAUUGGCAUCAUCCUAUUUUAUAUAUGGAUUCAUAGAAACCUCUUGUGAAUUUACCUUUCUUAGUCACUAUUUUAAGAAACCAUUGUAGAUGUUUGGCUUAACCAAGGUGAUAGAAUCCAACUUGCUUUGAGCAAUGUACUGAUGUAUAAACUGAUAUAUGACUCUAACUCUAUAUGAUCAUCAUGUGGAGAACAAAGUCCCUGUCCCAGAUCCUAGUCUCAAUGUCUUGCAGAAAGCAAAGACAAGAGAAUGGUUCAGAGAAAAUUACCACAGCUAAUAGUUAAGCAAUGCAGUGUGCUUAUUCUGUUGCUAGCAGGCCAAUAAAUUUUUAUUUUUUUAAAAAUUGUAGCAACAUGGAUGGACUGGGGGCAUUUUGCUGAAGUGAAAUGUCAGAGAAAAACAGAUACUAUAUGAUAUCACUUAUAUGUGGAAUCUAAAAAAUACACCAAACUAGUGUAU
Molecule: long non-coding RNA, 6320 nt
Filed under: Sus scrofa (pig)
Lineage: Eukaryota; Metazoa; Chordata; Mammalia; Artiodactyla; Suidae
Description: lncRNA (ENSSSCG00035018225.1)
Source: RNAcentral